GUCUGACGGAGCAACGCCGCUGAGUGAUGAAAGGUCUUUGGUUUGUAAACUUUUUGUAUUAGGGAAGAACAAAAUGUGUAAGUAACUGUGCACAUCUUGACGGUACCUGAUUAGAAAGCCACGGCUAAUUACGUGCCAGCAGCCGCGGUAAUAAGUAGGUGGCAAGCGUUAUCUGGAAUUAUUGGGCGUAAAGCGCGCGUAGGCGGUUUUUUAAGUCUGAUGUGAAAGCCCACGGCUCAACCGUGGAGGGUCAUUGGAAACUGGAAAACUUGAGUGCAGAAGAGGAAAGUGGAAUUCCAUGUGUAGCGGUGAAAUGCGCAGAGAUAUGGAGGAACACCAGUGGCGAAGGCGACUUUCUGGUCUGUAACUGACGCUGAUGUGCGAAAGCGUGGGGAUCAAACAGGAUUAGAUACCCUGGUAGUCCACGCCGUAAACGAUGAGUGCUAAGUGUUAGGGGGUUUCCGCCCCUUAGUGCUGCAGCUAACGCAUUAAGCACUCCGCCUGGGGAGUACGACCGCAAGGUUGAAACUCAAAGGAAUUGACGGGGACCCGCACAAGCGGUGGAGCAUGUGGUUUAAUUCGAAGCAACGCGAAGAACCUUACCAAAUCUUGACAUCCUUUGACCGCUCUAGAGAUAGAGUCUUCCCCUUCGGGGGACAAAGUGACAGGUGGUGCAUGGUUGUCGUCAGCUCGUGUCGUGAGAUGUUGGGUUAAGUCCCGCAACGAGCGCAACCCUUAAGCUUAGUUGCCAUCAUUAAGUUGGGCACUCUAAGUUGACUGCCGGUGACAAACCGGAGGAAGGUGGGGAUGACGUCAAAUCAUCAUGCCCCUUAUGAUUUGGGCUACACACGUGCUACAAUGGACAAUACAAAGGGCAGCUAAACCGCGAGGUCAAGCAAAUCCCAUAAAGUUGUUCUCAGUUCGGAUUGUAGUCUGCAACUCGACUACAUGAAGCUGGAAUCGCUAGUAAUCGUAGAUCAGCAUGCUACGGUGAAUACGUUCCCGGGUCUUGUACACACCGCCCGUCACACCACGAGAGUUUGUAACACCCGAAGCCGGUGGAGUAACCAUCUAUGGAGCCUAGCCGUCGAA
Molecule: ribosomal RNA, 1092 nt
Filed under: Staphylococcus warneri
Lineage: Bacteria; Bacillati; Bacillota; Bacilli; Caryophanales; Staphylococcaceae
Description: bacterial SSU rRNA
Rfam family: Bacterial small subunit ribosomal RNA
Source: RNAcentral